GUGGGGAAUCUUGCGCAAUGGGCGAAAGCCUGACGCAGCCAUGCCGCGUGAAUGAUGAAGGUCUUAGGAUUGUAAAAUUCUUUCACCGGGGACGAUAAUGACGGUACCCGGAGAAGAAGCCCCGGCUAACUUCGUGCCAGCAGCCGCGGUAAUACGAAGGGGGCUAGCGUUGCUCGGAAUUACUGGGCGUAAAGGGCGCGUAGGCGGACAGUUUAGUCAGAGGUGAAAGCCCAGGGCUCAACCUUGGAAUUGCCUUUGAUACUGGCUGUCUUGAGUACAGGAGAGGUGAGUGGAACUCCGAGUGUAGAGGUGAAAUUCGUAGAUAUUCGGAAGAACACCAGUGGCGAAGGCGACUCACUGGCCCGUUACUGACGCUGAGGCGCGAAAGCGUGGGGAGCAAACAGGAUUAGAAACCCCAGUAGUCC
This 425-nucleotide ribosomal RNA is filed under the name uncultured bacterium. Its description in RNAcentral is "bacterial SSU rRNA". It matches the Rfam family "Bacterial small subunit ribosomal RNA", at positions 354 to 796 of the family's 1533-position model. The record is from RNAcentral.